This 1001-nucleotide ribosomal RNA is filed under the name uncultured bacterium. RNAcentral's name for it is "bacterial SSU rRNA". It matches the Rfam family "Bacterial small subunit ribosomal RNA", at positions 333 to 1329 of the family's 1533-position model. The record is from RNAcentral.
GGCUUCCUACGGGGGGCAGCAGUGGGGAAUAUUGCACAAUGGGCGCAAGCCUGAUGCAGCCAUGCCGCGUGUGUGAAGAAGGCCUUCGGGUUGUAAAGCACUUUCAGUCAGGAGGAAAGGUUAGUAGUUAAUACCUGCUAGCUGUGACGUUACUGACAGAAGAAGCACCGGCUAACUCCGUGCCAGCAGCCGCGGUAAUACGGAGGGUGCAAGCGUUAAUCGGAAUUACUGGGCGUAAAGCGAGCGUAGGCGGCUUGAUAAGUUGGAUGUGAAAAACCGGGGCUCAACCUCGGCUGUGCAUUCAAAACUGUUAGGCUAGAGUCUUGUAGAGGGGGGUAGAAUUUCAGGUGUAGCGGUGAAAUGCGUAGAGAUCUGAAGGAAUACCAGUGGCGAAGGCGGCCCCCUGGACAAAGACUGACGCUGAGGUUCGAAAGCGUGGGUAGCGAACAGGAUUAGAUACCCUGGUAGUCCACGCCGUAAACGAUGUCUACUUGCUGUCUGUGUUCUUGUAACGUGGGUAGCGCAGCUAACGCGAUAAGUAGACCGCCUGGGGAGUACGGCCGCAAGGUUAAAACUCAAAUGAAUUGACGGGGGCCCGCACAAGCGGUGGAGCAUGUGGUUUAAUUCGAUGCAACGCGAUGAACCUUACCAUCCUUGACAUCCAGAGAAUUUACUAGAGAUAGUUUAGUGCCUUCGGGAACUUUGAGACAGGUGCUGCAUGGCUGUCGUCAGCUCGUGUUGUGAAAUGUUGGGUUAAGUCCCGCAACGAGCGCAACCCUUAUCCUUAGUUGCCAUCAUUAAGUUGGGGACUCUAGGGAGACUGCCGGUGAUAAACCGGAGGAAGGUGGGGACGACGUCAAGUCAUCAUGGCCCUUACGGGAUGGGCUACACACGUGCUACAAUGGUAAGUACAGAGGGCAGCUAACUUGCGAGAGUCCGCGAAUCCCUUAAAGCUUAUCGUAGUCCGGAUUGGAGUCUGCAACUCGACUCCAUGAAGUCGG